AUAACACACACUACACUGUGACACAGACUUAUACAGUAUAGUAUGAUAUUAUAAUACCCAAAUUUUAUAUUAGAGGAUUUGGAGAAAUAUUCCAGUGAACUCAGUUAUUUCCUUAUACCUGAGCUAGAAAUAAUUUUGCAUCAAAAAUUCCCCACUCUGCCUUUCCAGAGCAUGACUAAUCUGUGAAGAGUGAGUUGAUACAGUUACUGCAUGGCAUACUUUUAUGGGGUCUAGCUUGAAAGUCAAAGAAAUACAUAACACAAUAGAAGGAGAGAGGCAUAAAGUUUCAAGGAAGGGGUUUUUUCCCUUAAUUACUAUUACUUUAGGAUGACAGCAUGUUUAUUCCCUAAGAAGAGCCAGCAGAGAAGAGAUUGAAAAUCUGAGAGUAAUAAAAUGGGAGAGAGGGAGGGGAGAGGAGAGAGAGAACCAAAAAAGAAUCAACGUGUAAAGGAAAUUCUUGGAGUGUUGAGCUGAAAAGGAUAGAUGAAAGGGUUCAUGGUUAAAAACAAAAAGGGAGGGGGGGAAAGGAAUACUUCUUUCUCUAGAUUGAGGUGGAUUUCCACACACAAGAAAAUCUCACCAUUCAUCUUGGCUCUCCUUCACAGGUGAGAAAGUGGAUAUCCAGACAGGUGCAGCAAACCAGUAGAAAAUCUGAGAUAGAGCCUUUUAGCUUUUUGUAGUGCUUUCCUUUUUGAAAAUAAUUUUGUCAUUUUUCUUUGAGUUCUUUUCAGGCCCUCCUUGCCCUAUUUAAAUGUUUGUGUUCUGAGUCAGGCAUGAGUUUCUAAGGGAACUAAUUGAAUAAAAUGCUGUGGGACUAUGAGACUGUGCUCCGUUUAGCAUAUUUCCUGGUCACUUUAUUAACUUUUCUCUCCCAUAACUUAUUACACUUUUUAAUCACACGUGACCUACCUUUAAGCCUCUAAAUAUCUCCCUGUUAUCAGAUAGUGUUUAGACAGUGCUCAGGCUAAGAAGCCCUGCAUGAUGCCCAACAUAGCAUCCAAGUUAAACACACCAAUUAAUAUCCACCUCUUCAAAAUGGUGAAAAAAAAAAACAAAUGUUCUCUGCAUGGCCAAAUCAAAUCUUUACUUUUAAAUACAAUGAAAGACUAUUUUCUCCUUUUCCAGAAAAGAAAUUCUAGCCCUGCUUUAUUGAACCCCAUCCCAGUGACUCAAUUUUUUACAGGCUUGCUCACCAGUUCUCUGUUUCAGAUGUUGGUGACCGAGGAACAACACCCACCAUUUACUCCACCCCAAGGGACUUCUUGACUGCAUCUGAAUCACCUAUCAUGGGCUUGAGUGAUGCCAGUACUUAGAAGAAAGCAGACCCAAGAGAAAGGCUACCAUAUCACUUGCACCUCUGAAUCCAACCAGCCCUGAAAGUUUCUCUUUUCCUGAACUUGCAAGAUAAAAGAGCUAAUAAACUAAUUUUUGCUAGCUUGAGUUGGAUUUCU
This 1451-nucleotide long non-coding RNA is filed under the name Felis catus (domestic cat). Its description in RNAcentral is "lncRNA (ENSFCAG00000042029.2)". The record is from RNAcentral. Lineage: Eukaryota; Metazoa; Chordata; Mammalia; Carnivora; Felidae.